UACGGAGGGGGCUAGCGUUGUCCGGAAUUAUUGGGCGUAAAGAGCUCGUAGGCGGUGUGUCACGUCGGCCGUGAAAACCUGCAGCUUAACUGUGGGCGUGCGGUCGAUACGGGCAUCACUGGAGUUCGGCAGGGGAGACUGGAAUUCCUGGUGUAGCGGUGAAAUGCGCAGAUAUCAGGAGGAACACCAGUGGCGAAGGCGGCUGACUGGUCCGGUUCUGACGCUGAGGCGCGAAAGCGUGGGGAGCAAACGGG
Molecule: ribosomal RNA, 254 nt
Filed under: uncultured bacterium
Lineage: Bacteria
Description: partial 16S ribosomal RNA
Rfam family: Bacterial small subunit ribosomal RNA
Source: RNAcentral